UUGAUUUCAUAGUGGAAAUUUGACUUUAUAAUGAAUGAAUCCUCUUUGAUUAAAUAUGAUAAGUAUCUUGUUUGUGCGCGCUAAAGCAAAUUACGGAAGUGGUAUGAGAGCAGCUGCAACGUGCCAUGCAAAUGAUCAUCAAGGCGGUUAAAUGAGUAUGAGAAUUGCGGUUAAGUCUGUUUCGAUCCUGUUUGAACUAUAUAGCUAAACAGUACUAUAUGCUCACUAAAUUAGCG
Molecule: non-coding RNA, 236 nt
Organism: Paramuricea clavata
Lineage: Eukaryota; Metazoa; Cnidaria; Anthozoa; Malacalcyonacea; Plexauridae
Source: the annotation of a GenBank genome assembly